This 270-nucleotide ribosomal RNA is filed under the name unidentified soil organism R6-29. Its description in RNAcentral is "partial 16S ribosomal RNA". It matches the Rfam family "Bacterial small subunit ribosomal RNA", at positions 1233 to 1501 of the family's 1533-position model. The record is from RNAcentral.
GCAGGUACAGAGGGAANCCAACUCGCGAGAGGGANCUAAUCCCAGNAAACCUGUCGUAGUCCGGAUUGGAGUCUNCAACUCGACUCCAUGAAGUCGGAAUCGCUAGUAAUCGCAGAUCAGCAUUGCUGCGGUGAAUACGUUCCCGGGUCUUGUACACACCGCCCGUCACACCAUGGAAGUGUAUUGCACCAGAAGCAGGUAGCCUGNCCGCAAGGAGGGCGCCUACCACGGUGUGGUCCAUGACUGGGGUGAAGUCGUAACAAGGUAACC